Molecule: ribosomal RNA, 410 nt
Filed under: uncultured bacterium
Lineage: Bacteria
Description: bacterial SSU rRNA
Rfam family: Bacterial small subunit ribosomal RNA
Source: RNAcentral
AGAGUUUGAUCAUGGCUCAGAACGAACGCUGGCGGCAGGCCUAACACAUGCAAGUCGAGCGCGCCCUUCGGGGCGAGCGGCGCACGGGUGAGUAGCGCGUGGGAACCUGUCCCGGAGUGGGGAAUAACCUCGGGAAACCGAGGCUAAUGCCCCAUGUCCCCUGCGGGGGAAAGAUUUAUCGCUCCGGGAGGGGCCCGCGUCGGAUUAGGUUGUUGGCGGGGUAACGGCCCACCAAGCCUGCGAUCCGUAGCUGGUCUGAGAGGACGACCAGCCACACUGGGACUGAGACACGGCCCAGACUCCUACGGGAGGCAGCAGUGAGGAAUCUUGGACAAUGGGCGCAAGCCUGAUCCAGCCAUGCCGCGUGAGUGAAGAAGGCCUUAGGGUUGUAAAGCUCUUCAGCGGNGAAG